Molecule: ribosomal RNA, 497 nt
Filed under: uncultured bacterium
Lineage: Bacteria
Description: partial 16S ribosomal RNA
Rfam family: Bacterial small subunit ribosomal RNA
Source: RNAcentral
GAUGAACGCUGGCGGCGUGUCUAAUACAUGCAAGUCGAGCGAACGGACGAGAAGCUUGCUUCUCUGAUGUUAGCGGCGGACGGGUGAGUAACACGUGGAUAACCUACCUAUAAGACUGUGAUAACUUCGGGAAACCGUAGCUAAUACCGGAUAAUAUUUUGAACCGCAUGGUUCAAAAGUGAAAGACGGUCUUGCUGUCACGUAUAGAUGGAUCCGCUCUGCAUUAGCUAGUUGGUAAGGUAACGGCUUACCAAGGCAACGAUGCAUAGCCGACCUGAGAGGGUGAUCGGCCACACUAGAACUGAGACACGGUCCAGACUCCUACGGGAGGCAGCAGUAGGGAAUCUUCCGCAAUGGGCGACAGCCUGACGGAGCAACCCCGCGUGAGUGAUGCAGGUCUUCGGAUCGUAACACUCUGUUAUUAGGGACGAACAUAUGUGUAAGUAACUGUGCACAUCUCGACGGUUCCUAAUCAGAAAGCCACGGCUAACUACGUG